This 22738-nucleotide long non-coding RNA is filed under the name Volvox carteri. Its description in RNAcentral is "long non-coding RNA (VCAR_LNC001179)". The record is from RNAcentral. Lineage: Eukaryota; Viridiplantae; Chlorophyta; Chlorophyceae; Chlamydomonadales; Volvocaceae.
GUGCGUGAGAGGGUGAAUAGCGGUGAGGUGCAGUUGGAAUACUGCCCUAGUGGAUGGUAGCGGAUGUGCUAACGAAGGCUCUGGGCGAGGUGAAGUUCAAACGUUGCCGAGAUGCUAUGGGCCUUGUGUGAAGUGUGCAGAUGAACUUGGUACUCGUUGGGAUACGGCCCGAGGGGGCGUGUUGAGGAAACGGUCCUCUCCCAACUCGUGUGGUUGUCGACCAGGGGAUUUGACCCCGGGUCUGCGCCUGACUAAUGGGGAAGACUUACCCCAGAACCUUAUGGGGCUACCGAUGCAUAUCCGGUAGCUAAGUGAUAGACAUUAGGGCACCGUCUGGACGGCGCAGUGAGAUCGCGGAAUGUACGUGCAGUUAGAUCGCGGAAUGUACGAGUUUUCCGCUAGCGCCGGUAUUUAGGGCGGUGACUGCGCCUAUUUGUUUAUCUCACAACGAUCGGUAUUCCUACCAGGAAUCUCCUCAAGUCCUGCCGAACGCUAACAAUACUCUUUACAUUACUUGUAACAGUUUAUCGUGCUAAAUAUCUUCGCCACCGGCAAUCCUUCCGGAAUAACAAUUAGCGUUAGCUGUCACCGUCGCCAAAUCUUCAAUACAUCCGAGUAUUAACGAACUCCCCGCCACGAUCUGUACGCACCUCCUUAACCUGCCUGCCAGUAGCGCGCUCCAGUUCCGCUAUCAUUACCACCAUCUUCUGGUAGACCUCCUCCUUGGUCGCUGUAAACGCAACAGCUGAAAGACCAGUAUGGUCGUCAAGCAGGGUUGUCACGUAACGCGAACCACUAGGCGAAGGUUCAGGCAUAGGCCCACACACAUCUAUGUGGAUUAAUGCUAGUGGCUGUGUUGCCUUAUGCCCUGUUAGCGGAAAAGGGCCACGUGUAUGUUUAGCAAGGACGCAAGUCUCACACACACACGCGCUGGCUGAUUGUAUGCUGUGUCGGUCAACAUCAAAUCCAGCUACCAUAUUAUGACGCAGCAACGUCUCAAGGUUGCUGUAUCCCAAGUGGCCAUACCGUCGGUGCCAAAGUGCUGCACGUUCAGCUCCGAUAUCCACGGCAGCACACACUGCAUCACCACCAGAAGGUAUCCUGUUGUCUUCACGCUGCGUCCUCUUCAGAGCUCCCGUACCUCCACUGCUGUAGCAGACGGGAUACAAGUCCCCAUCCCGCUUUCCAGUCAGCACCAACUGGUUCUGUACGUAUACUUUCGCCUGUCCGCCGCCGAAGACCACACUGCCUCCACGAUCAUCAAUGAUGCGUACCGAUAUGAUUUUGGCGGUGGCUUCCUCGUCGACGUAGACCUUCUUGAAAGUGAUGGCCUGUUUAUCGUUGACGUUAGACCGAAUCGUAAGCGUGCCAACUUCAGUCGNNNNNNNNNNNNNNNNNNNNNNNNNNNNNNNNNNNNNNNNNNNNNNNNNNNNNNNNNNNNNNNNNNNNNNNNNNNNNNNNNNNNNNNNNNNNNNNNNNNNNNNNNNNNNNNNNNNNNNNNNNNNNNNNNNNNNNNNNNNNNNNNNNNNNNNNNNNNNNNNNNNNNNNNNNNNNNNNNNNNNNNNNNNNNNNNNNNNNNNNNNNNNNNNNNNNNNNNNNNNNNNNNNNNNNNNNNNNNNNNNNNNNNNNNNNNNNNNNNNNNNNNNNNNNNNNNNNNNNNNNNNNNNNNNNNNNNNNNNNNNNNNNNNNNNNNNNNNNNNNNNNNNNNNNNNNNNNNNNNNNNNNNNNNNNNNNNNNNNNNNNNNNNNNNNNNNNNNNNNNNNNNNNNNNNNNNNNNNNNNNNNNNNNNNNNNNNNNNNNNNNNNNNNNNNNNNNNNNNNNNNNNNNNNNNNNNNNNNNNNNNNNNNNNNNNNNNNNNNNNNNNNNNNNNNNNNNNNNNNNNNNNNNNNNNNNNNNNNNNNNNNNNNNNNNNNNNNNNNNNNNNNNNNNNNNNNNNNNNNNNNNNNNNNNNNNNNNNNNNNNNNNNNNNNNNNNNNNNNNNNNNNNNNNNNNNNNNNNNNNNNNNNNNNNNNNNNNNNNNNNNNNNNUUGGCAGCACCGGUAACCAUCGGCAAAUGAUGAUCCUUGACGUUCUUGAUGAGCAGAUUGAUGACCUUCCGUGACUGUCGAAUUUGCUCCUCGUUGCACGGCUCGGCGAGCAGGGAUUGCUCAAGCCCAAGCUCCAUGCACAACGCGCUGAACCGAAUUUGCCAGGUAGAGUAGUUGUUGAGAUCCAGCGACUCAUCAAGCUUGUCCUUAACCAUUGUUGAUGAGGGAUAGAAAUAACAAUUGGGCGAUAACUGUCGGCGCUAACCGGGGCUCAUAACCUAUUGAAGAAUUGGCGACGGUGACAGCUAACGCUAAUUGUUAUUCCGGAAGGAUUGCCGGUGGCGAAGAUAUUUAGCACGAUAAACUGUUACAAGUAAUGUAAAGAGUAUUGUUAGCGUUCGGCAGGACUUGAGGAGAUUCCUGGUAGGAAUACCGAUCGUUGUGAGAUAAACUAAUAGGCGCAGUCACCGCCCUAAAUACCGGCGCUAGCGGAAAACUCGUACAUUCCGCGAUCUAACUGCACGCACAUUCCGUGAUCUCACUGCGCCGUCCAGACGGUGCCCUAAUGUCUAUCACUUAGCUACCGGAUAUGCAUCGGUAGCCCCAUAAGGUUCUGGGGUAAGUCUUCCCCAUUAGUCAGGCGCAGACCCGGGGUCAAAUCCCCUGGUCGACAACCACACGAGUUGGGAGAGGACCGUUUCGUCAACAUACGGGCGAUGAUGGCAUCCAUAUGCCCCGAACGACGGCGAAGGGUCGUUGUUGCCAAUAACCCACCUUGGUACUCGGACCUCAUUUGUAAUAACACUGCGACCUUUGCCAGGAUCAAUGAAUGGAUCAAGUCCUUGUAAGCUCCACCGCAGCUGGCACCAGCGCAUGCAGGUGGUGAGUUGCUGAACCCAACGAAUUCAUUCUGAAGUCGGAUGGGGUGAAUGGAUUAGGGUGCCCCUCUCGCAGGUGAGAGCAGGGAACUGCCUCGGGAAAGGGGGCCGCUGGUGGAGCUUAAACACCCUGUAACAACAUACAUACCUGGAGGCAGGCGGCUGGCAGAGGUUAAGGCCUGACUUCUGCUCCCAGUUGACCCAGUCGACCCGGGUUCAAAUCCGCCUGCCGGCUCCUCGGGUGUUUGAGGAGUGAUGAAAUGGGAGGUGGCCCCCCAUCUUAUGGACGGUGUAGGACGUGAUAAUAUCAACUUGCGAGCUGACCAGGAACUAAGUUGAUGCGCCGUUGAUCCGCUAGAUUUGGUUGGAUGCUGGUGGUGAGUUGCCGAACUCAACGAAUACAUUCUGAAGUCGGAUGGGGUGACGGAUUAGGGUGCCCCUCUAGCAGGGGAGAGCAGGGACUGCCCCGGGAAAGGGGGCCGCUGGCGAAGUUAACCACCCUGUAACAACAUACAUACCUGGAGUUCCAGUCCUGCGGGCAUCAGCCCUAGGCAAUAGCUAAGCAUCACGUCGCCGAGACACCUACCCCUGUCGUCGAUAUCUAUGAGUAAACCUCUCUUCACUUCGCAAACCAACGUCAACCUGAACAGCACCCCGGAACCCCUCGGGUCCCAUUACUUCUGUCACCGUUCUGCUGCUGGUACGGUAGAAAGGUGUCGGUCAUUUUCUCACAAUUGGGAGCCACAGGGGUCAGAAAUCGGUGGGGGUUAGAGCUUAGGUAUGGCUUGUUCAUGUGCCGCCUCAGCUCGCCCAUGAACUUGGGAGCUCAGGGUACUAUCACCUUACUGGAUGUGGAUUAGACUCCUUCCCUCGGGAUGUGGAUAUGGACAUGACCCCCACUCUGGAUAGGGAAGUGGUCCACCCUGCUGAGAUUAGAGGAUGGCUGACCGGUACCCAACCCCAGGAUGAGAGGAUUAGGACCCCUGGCCUCGGUUACAAGGUACGGAGAAGCUGCGAUACCCCAACGUUAAGUAGAGGAGAGACAACGCUCGGGCAAUUAGUAGUUGGGAUUCAGCGUUAUUUCUUUGCGGAAUAUAUUCCGAAUUUCGAAUAAAAAAAUGUCCGUGGUCCUGAAAGUUAAGGAUAAAUAAUUGUUAAGACCAGCAAAGCGCCGGACCCCCGUUGGGUCCUAUUACUGUUGCUACCAUUCACUGGUAUAUGAGUGUCGGUCAUUUCCAACAAUAAUGUUCCAACCGUACAAGUUCAUUCCUCCAGCCAAAAAUGGACUGUCCAUGCCAAAGCCGCUAGAAUCUUACAGGAGACCUACAUAUCAUAGUACUUUAAUGCCAUGGAUACUGUUAGGAAGCUCACGCCCGAAAGUCAACGAGGAAUCGGACUGUUUCUGACCGGACCAAACGCUGCAAAACAUUCGGACCCGAAGCUCCCAAAGCAUUGAAGGCCAUUAAAGCAGAUACUAAAUUUCACUGAAGCCAUUAGCGACGUUAAUGAAGACGGUGUAGGGGUCGUAGGCAAUGUGGACGCAAUGCUGCAGCCAGCCGACGACAAUGACGCCACUCCGGUUGUCAACAGCGAGCGGGCCAAACAUCAAUGUUCCUCAUAUGGAUACAAUCGCGAUGGGCCAGGAUACAGGUUGCGUUUGGUGGUUCCGGUUCAUUGCUGCUAUGCAUCAUUACUUCUGCAACCUGGAAAGUCGUGUAGUGUUAUCUUUCAACGUGAUGCAAGACGAACGAUGGUGAACGAACUCUAUUCGAUCAGUGCUUGAGAGAUUGGUGUGCGCGUGUUGUGACAUUCCCCAAACCCGGCGAUUGCACGGCGAUUGCACGAACUCAUGGGGGGGGGGAGCCCCCCCAGCGCCUUACAGAUUCGAAAUACCUUUAUUCCUGCGACUAAAAACCUAUUCCUCCGUUCGGACCGGAAAAUUAACCGGCAUAAAUGAAAAAAACACUGAUGCCAAGAUGGCGGCAUCCUCAAGUGGGUCCGGAAUGGGGUCGAUCUCCAUAGGCAAAUUACGGUGGGGCUCCAUCAGAUGUCCCUGGGGAGACCCCCGAAUUAGUCGGGAGCGCGAGAUUAUGGCUAGCUGCUGAGAUGUGGAGUUGAGGUCACAGUUGAUGGACCAGAUUCGCACGCUGGAUUGGUGGCGAUUGCCGAACCCUCCGUCUCUUCGGGUGUUCGGGUGAAUGGAUGAGGAGGGGUCCCUGAAGGCUGGGAUCCGCCGCCUUGGACUUACAGUUCGUAUGGCGAAGUGCAGUGUGGUAGUGGUGGAUGGUGCUAUAAGGUGAUAAAUGAUCUAGAACUGACAAUGUGAUAAAGCGGCCCAGAAGCCUCCCACUCUGUAACAUUAAAAAAAAAAAAAAAAGAUGUCCCAAGCGGCUCAAACCAUCCACGUGUUGGAAAUGACCGACACUCAUAUACCAGUGAAUGGUACCCACAGGAAUAGGACUCAACGGGGGUCUGGCGCUUUGCUGGUCUUAACAGGUUAUGAGCCCAGAACAGGUUAUGAGCCCAGAACAGGUUAUGAGCCCAGAAUGGCGCAUUGCGUCGCCGGAUCGAUACCCACUGGCUGUUGCCCAGAGAAUGGGAGACCGGGAUGAGGCAUGGGAAGGCCCGUAGCGAGAGAGUGUCGCUCACGGGAUGGUGUGGAAAUGACCGACACUCAUAUACCAGUGAAUGGUAGCCACAAUAAUAGGACCCAACGCGGGUCCGGCGCUUUGCUGGUCUUACUUCACCACGUUUGAAUUCUUACGUCCAGCCUUAUGCAUUACUUCAAAAUCGUAGGCUUGAAGCUUGAGCGCAUAUCGAGCCAGCUUUCCCAGAAGAUCUCAAGCGUGCCGUGCGCAAAGUCCAAAGACCCGCCGUGCGCAAAGACCAAACCGUCAUCAAAUUCGUGAUGAGUAAGUACAAAAUGAGUGCCGUACAAGUAGGGAUGAAAGUGUUUGAUUGCCCAUAAGGCAGUGUAGGCCUCUCCAUCUGCCGCGCUGUAAUUCAGCUGUGAGCCAGUCAUAGCCUUACUAGCAAACUGAACGGUGUAUUCCUUUGUUGUCCUGCUGGGCCAGGCAUGCAGCGACGGCAGAACGGCACCAGUCGACUUGGACCAAGAACGCGUCAGAAAUCAGGUGCGCGGAGAACAGGCUUCCGUAGCAAAGUAUUACGUAGCUCUUGAAAAGCGUCUUCUUCUCUUGGACCCCAACACCAGGAUGUCCCCUGCUUAAGUAGCGCAUACAAUGGCUGUGCAAUCAAGCCGAAGCCAGGGAUACGUUCCCGGUAGUAAUCAACAGCUCCCAGCCAAGCUCGUACUUCGCGAACAUUGGAUGGAGACGGAAGUUCUGCAAUUUGCAUGACGUUGGCGGGGUUAGGUCCCACGACACCACGUACUCCGUCAAGAAGAUGACCAAGAAAAACCACGCGUUGAUGGCCAAACGUGCACUUCUUAGCUGCGAUCUUGAGACCAGCCAUUCGGUCGCGCACUUAAUGAAGAUGUCGUACAUGAUCUUGUAUUGUUGGGCUGAAGAUAAGGAUAUCAUCCAGAUAGACUGUUAAGAAUAUGAAGGCAAGGAGACUGGUCGCGAUAUAAGGGUUACAGUCUGUGGGUUAGUGGUGAACGGCAAGAAGACUUUAGGAGAUUGGGGCUACCGAUGCAUAUCCGGUAGCUAAGUGAUAGACAUUAGGGCACCGUCUGGACGGCGCAGUGAGAUCACGGAAUGUACGUGCAGUUAGAUCGCGGAAUGUACGAGUUUUCCGCUAGCGCCGGUAUUUAGGGCGGUGACUGCGCCUAUUAGUUUAUCUCACAACGAUCGGUAUUCCUACCAGGAAUCUCCUCAAGUCCUGCCGAACGCUAACAAUACUCUUUACAUUACUUGUAACAGUUUAUCGUGCUAAAUAUCUUCGCCACCGGCAAUCCUUCCGGAAUAACAAUUAGCGUUAGCUGUCACCGUCGCCAAUUCUUCAAUACCGUAGGCUACGCUAAAGCCAUAAAAACAAUCCAUGCACGUGUAAAGCGAGCAACAACAGCUCCACAUAAAACCUGCACACAUCACGGUGCAUCUUUUACCUAAUUCAACUUUACGAUUAGAAACAAAGUCCAAAGCCCUACAAAUGAACCACAACCCAAAACCUCAACAAUCAGCAGUCGAUAUCUACACCCACGCACGAAAACCACAAAUAAUAACACGACCAAGUCAAGAUGCACAUGCACGUACUCGAUUAGAGGCAUCUGGUGUCACUGGGAUAUUGAUACACAUGUCUGGGUUUUCGUACAACCCCGCAAUACCCUUACUAGCCAUAUCACACACGCGCACAUACAUACAUAGCUCUCCCUGCAUCGUCAUGGGCCCCAGUACUACUACCGCCCAUGCCGCCCCGCUAGCCUCGCGGUCCAGCAGCUACCAGCAGGCCACCAGGAUCGGUGCAAGCAAAAGCAUAAUCAGCUACCGGAGUGCCGUACAAACAGUAAAUCCCUAACAACCAACGGUAGAACCCUUAUUACCGUUCUGCUCACUUCUUGGGGGCCGGCGGCGGCGCCUUAUUCGUUAAUGGAGGUGAUGGGGGAGAUGGAAGCGGCUGCUUGCCCGCCGGUGCCGGUGGCGGGGGACGCACUGGCGGCUGGUUGCUUGGACGCCGGGGGGGGCGAAAGCGGCUGCAUCUUUGACGGCUGGGUCGACGGCGGGGGCGAGACCGGCUGCUUGCUUGACGGCUGGGUCGACGGGGGGGGCGAAAGCGGCUGUUUGUUUGACGGCAGUGUCGACGGGGGGGGCGAAACCGGCUGCUUGUUUGACGGCUGGGUCGACGGCGGCGGCGAAAUCGGCUGCAUCUUUGACGGCUGGGUCGACGGCAGGGGCGAAACCGGCUGCUUGCUUGACGGCUGGGUCGACGGGGGGGGCGAAAGCGGCUGCUUGUUUGACGGCAGUGUCGACGGGGGGGGGGCGAAACCGGCUGCUUGUUUGACGGCUGGGUCGACGGGGGGGGCGAAAUCGGCUGCUUGUUUGACGGCAGUGUCGACGGGGGGGGCGAAACCGGCUGCUUGUUUGACGGCUGGGUCGACGGGGGGGGCGAAAUCGGCUGCUUCUUUGACGGCUGGGUCGACGGCGGGGGGCGAAACCGGCUGCUUGCUUGACGGCUGGGUCGACGGGGGGGGCGAAAGCGGCUGCUUGUUUGACGGCUGGGUCGACGGGGGGGGGGCGAAACCGGCUGCUUGCUUGACGGCUGGGUCGACGGGGGGGGCGAAAGCGGCUGCUUCUUUGACGGCUGGGUCGACGGCGGGGGCGAAACCGGCUGCUUGCUUGACGGCUGGGUCGACGGCGGCGGCGAAAUCGGCUGCUUAUUUGAUGGCAGGUUUGACGGCGGCGGCGAAAGCGGCUGCUUGUUUGACGGCAGCGGCGGCUUGCUGCUUGUUACGUUUGCAGCCAGGGCACCUGUGCAGAGGGAUGCGAUCCCCAAAGACACGUUCAAUGCCAGCACCGCUACUAGACGACCUGACGAAGCUCCAAGUCGAUUUCCUAAGGCCGUCAGCAUAUCUACGUCGCCACACAAAGAUGCUGCUCCACAAAACAUUGUUCCCCGGAGGUGCACGUACAUGAUUAUGAAACUGAGAUUGCCUCACCUUCUUGGCACAGAAACGCGAGGACCAGCAACAAGGCAGGCGGCUGGCAGAGGUUAAGGCCUGGCUUCUGCUCCCGGCGCGUCCCGGCGCGUCCGGGUUCAAAUUCCGCCUGCCGACCUCUCGGGGUGUUUGAGAGGUGAUGAAAUGGGAGGUGGCCCAUCUUGUGGACGGUGUAGGACGUGAUAAAAUCAACUUGCGAGCUGACCAGGAACUAAGUUGACGCGCCGUUGAUCCGCUAGAUUUGGUUGGAUGCUGAUGGUGAGUUGUGUUGGAAAUGACCGACACUCAUAUACCAGUGAAUGGUAGCCACAAUAAUAGGACCCAACGGGGGUCCGGCGCUUUGCUGGUCUUAACAGGUUAUGAGCCCCGAAUGGCGCAUUGCGCUGCCGAGAGGUCGCCGGAUCGAUACCCACUGGCUGUUGCCCAGAGAAUGGGAGACCGGGAUGAGGCACGGGAAGGCCCGGAGCGAGAGAGUGUCGCUCACGGGGGGGUGUUGGAAAUGACCGACACUCAUAUACCAGUGAAUGGUAGCCACAGUAAUAGGACCCAACGGGGGUCCGGCGCUUUGCUGGUCUUAACAAGUUGCCAAACUCAAAGAGUACACUCUGAAGUCGGGUGGGGUGAAUGGCUUAGGGUGCCCCUCUAGCAGGGGAGAGCAUGGAACUGCCUCGGGAAGGAGGCCACUGGUGAAGCUUAACCACCCUGUAACAACAUCAACAAGAGGAGGCGUACGGUUGCCAUUUUAUCCGUGAUAUGUAACAAGGAAAUGUAUGUAACGAAACAAACCACUUGGCUUCAAACCCAACGUUCCAGGCGGAGGAGAUGCUUCCACAACACUUCGGGAGCCAAAAGUUAUACUAGUGAGUGAAAACUUGUGUACGGAACUGCCCACUACAGGCAUCGUACACAAAUUGCGAACCAGGAUGGCUGGUUUAAUGGUUUAAUGCUGCGCAUAUGGAGGUGCCGACUUGGUUUAGAAGUGGCGUCUACGAAUCGGUUAGCGGCGGUGUUUUUAAAGGAACAGCAGCAGCUUACUAAACUGUCCUUUGUCAGGUCGCCACGGUUUCGGUUUCGCCGCUGGAAAACCUUCGUCUGUGCGUUCAAAGUAAGGGAGAUGUUGCAAUAUUGCAUGUAGGUCCUAUGUUUUAGUUCCAAGUGUAAAUAAUGAACAAGUCAUGAGGGUGAGGGUGAGCCUCGGCUUUGGAGUCAUGUGUGCCAGUCCGGCAGAAGUUUAAAGGGUUUAGGGCUUUAUCAGAGCCGCAGUCCCAUGGCAGGUGAGGUUUUGGUGAGAUUAUAUAUGGGCACGUUACACGCCGUGCUUGUACGAAAGAUCGCGCUUAACAAUUCAGUGUUUGCGCCAUUUGCUUGUUUGGCCGAUAUAGGAUUGGUUGCUAGCUCUUACUUGCGCAAACAGCGAGCGCUUGCUGGAACGAAGGGCGGCAAGGCACUGCAUAUCGUGAUAUCAGCGCAAUGCGGCUGUCUGUGUGCAAUUUGAUAAGCUAAAUAGACACUUUCAGAGAGGAGGCUACAAGUCUUUGCCAGCCUCCUAGCACAGAGGCCGAAGACCACUUUGGCAAAGACUCGGUGCAAAGAUAGGGUGCUCGGUCCAUAUCUGGACGUACACGUGAAACUUCACCCGAAUGAAACCCCAGUGCUGCUUUUUAUGAAGCCGUGCCAAGUCUCAACGCAGCUCUAAGGCAAAUCACUCAUGACUGUACCCUUAAAUGUCUAGCAAUGAACAUAACCAGCCUGCAGGUCUGCUGCAUGCUUUUGGGUGCCUGGGAGCUCAGGGCCUGUUCAAGGGUCCACUUCAAGCGCCGACCCUCACCUGAAACGAACGGUCAACAUUGCCUACGACCUCUAGGCCGUCUUCAUUAACGACGCUAAUCGCUUCAGUGAAGUUUAAUAUCUUCUUUCAUGGCCUUCCACGUUUUAGGAGCUUCGGGUCCGAAUAUUUUGCAGCGUUUGAUCCGGUCAGAAACAGUCCGAUUCCUCGUUGACUUUCGGGCGUGAGCUUCCUAGCAGUAUCCAUGGCAUUAAAGUACUAUGAUAUGGUUAACAUGUAGGUCCCCUGUAAGAUUCUAGCGGCUUUGGCAUAAACAGUCCAUUUUUGGCUGGAGGAAUGAACUCGUACGGUCGGAACAUUAUUUAUUCUUAAUUUUCAGGACCGCGAACAAUUUUUUAUUCCGAAUUCGGAAUUGUUAAGACCAGCAAAGCGCCGGACCCCCGUUGGGUCCUAUUACUGUGGCUACCAUUCACUGGUAUAUGAGUGUCGGUCAUUUCCAACACCCCCCCGUGAGCGCCAGAGCACAACCAAGAAGCAACCAGACCCCUGGCCCCGCUUGGCAAGCGACACUUGGAUAGGUCAGCUCGUCUGACAUCUGAGCACCAGAUAAGAUACCUGCAGUACAACACGCACGGCAACACCGUCGCCGUCACGCUGUCAAUCCAUGUUAAGCAGGUUACGCGGAGCCACCUGCUUCUGAAAGCACCGAUACUGAUGAUGACCCCGGAAUGAUCUGUUCGGUCUGUCUACGAGGGCGGCCGACGUCCACUCUUCUGCUCUGCGAUGAGCCUUCCUGCUGUCUGGGCUGGCACACUACGUGUCUAGAUCCAUCAUUGUCUGUACCGGCUAGGCCAUGGUUUAGCCCACUUCAUAAUAGCAACCCAGCUCAACAUUCUACAAAGCGUCACCUGUCUACUGGCCCUGGUGAUACGCCAGCCAAGGGGGUGCAAUUUUCCCUAUCCCUGCCCGCCCUGGACAAACCCUGUCCUGCUGAUCAAUGACUGGCUGGAGGUCCAGCCAUCAUUCACCCCCGGGCCACCUCAGGUCGCCCUAUGGCCGACCGUAUUCCUACUCAGGGAUUGACCCCGUCACCUACUCCUUUUCACGGUGUUUUCAGCAAAGAGCUUACAAUGGCGGCUGAACGCAGCACCGGUACCGUCCUGAAUCCAACACUACCGUCAAAGGAACCGGCGGAGGUAUGUGUAGAAGACUAUGCGGCUCUGCAGCACCGACGUUCACAACUAGAGCUGGUGGCUGAUCAAGUUGCGGAAAACCUGAAAAACGCUCAAAGUCGAGAGCAGCGAGACUAUGCUAAACGACACGGUAACCCUAUGUUGCGGCCCGUCAAUAAGGAGGAGGCAGACCCACUGGUCACACUGAUUGCUCAAACGGAUCGCGCAACUGGUGGGCCAGUUUCGUUGGAACCCCAGCCAGCGGCCGCACAGAAACGUAAAAGUCCUAUCAAGGUGGAUAAUGCAAGUUCGCUGGAGCACGCACCUGACCUGGCGGAAAACACCAAGGUGUACCGAUGGACUCGGCAUUCACACAAGCUCGGGACCGACAGGGAGGGCCCAUUUUUCUUCAAGUACUGGAAUGCCCUCAGUACUCUGGCGCUGGUUGAGACUGCUGAUGGCCAGCCAUUCACAGUCCCUGUAAAACAACUGUUCGUCCCUUCGGAGAUUCGGAGCAUUAAGGAAAUAAAGCAGCCCUGAGAGUAGCAGUCGGACCUGCAUGUGUUAAGAAUAUGAAGGCAAGGAGACUGGUCGUGAUAUAUGGGUUACUAAUUUGUAUUUGUAAUGUUACAGAGUGGGAAGCUUCUGGGCCGCUUUAUCACAUUGUCAGUUCUAGAUCAUUUAUCACCUUAUAGCACCAUCCACCACUACCACACUGUACUUCGCCAUACGAACUGUAAGUCCAAGGCGGCGGAUCCAGCCUUCAGGGACCCCUCCUCAUCCAUUCACCCGAACACCCGAAGAGACGGAGGGUUCGGCAAUCGCCACCAAUCCAGCGUGCGAAUCUGGUCCAUCAACUGUGACCUCAACUCCACAUCUCAGCAGCUAGCCAUAAUCUCGCGCUCCCGACUAAUUCGGGGGUCUCCCCAGGAAUCGAACCCAGGACCUUAAACCGCUAAUUGCAGUAGUGUCAACCCAGACCAGACCAGACCAGACCAGACCAGACCAGACCAGACCAGACCAGACCAGACCAGACCAGACCAGACCAGACCAGACCAGACCAGACCAGACCAGACCAGACCAGAUAUGGGUUACAGUCUGUGGGUUAGUGGUGAACGGCAAGAAGACUUUAGGAGAUACCUGUUAAUGAAUACCGAUCCAUCCUAAGAUGAGAUACCAAGACUUGCAUAACUUGUGUCUUAUAUACCAGUACCAAUGGAAGUAUCGUACAGUCGCCCACCAUCUAUCCUGGACACGAGGACACGUCCUAGAUACGCGGCCGAGAGACCCUAGGCAAGGUCGAGGCAGGGCCGAGGCUGUUAAGAAUAUGAAGGCAAGGAGACUGGUCGCGAUAUAAGGGUUACAGUCUGUGGGUUAAUGGUGAACGGCAAGAAGACUUUAGGAGAUUCCUAUGAAGGAAUACCGAUCCAUCCGAAGAUGAGAUAGAAAGACAUGCACCACUUUGGUCUUAUGUACCGAUACCAACGGAAGUAUCGUACAGUCGUCCACCAUCCCUGGACCUGAGGACACGUCCGAGAUACGCGGCCGAGAGACCCGAGGCAAGGUCGAGGCAGCCCAGAGACCCGAGGCAAGGUCGAGGCAGGGCCGAGGCAUGGUCGAGGCAAGUCGGAGGCAUACCCUAUCACGGCGGAUUCAUCGCCUAUCUACCACCUAUUUAUGUUGGGAUAGGACCGCCCUUCAACAUGGCCAUAUGCCGGGACAAAACGAUCAAUGCAUACGAAAUGUCAGGCCGCCAACAACAACGCACGCAAGGUAGCUCUCUGUCAAGAGUUCAACCGUUUCAAGAUGGUCGACGGCGAGCCGCUACCCAAGUACUUUGCACGUGCGCGGUAAUUACAGUCAGACUUGUUGGGAGUGGGGCACGUUAUCAGCGACUCGGAGCUGGCGUACACAGUGCUGGUUGGUCUACCCAGCCGCUUUAACGUGGUAACGACGUCCCUGCUGGUGCGUGACGGCGAUUUGGACAUGGCGAGCGUCACCUCCAAGCUUUUGGCUAUCGAGGUGGCAAGCGGUGGGUCUAGUAGGCCUACCGAGUCGGCAGCUUUUGCUUCUGUCGGCGGUCUCACGUUUGGCGCCUCUGGUUCUGGUCUUAGGAAUCACGGCGCGGCCAGCAGCAGUUCUGGCGGUCCCCCCAAACAUUUGUUUUGUCACUAUUGCAAAAAGCCCGGGCACGAUAUUAAGGACUGCAGGAAGUUGAAGGCACUAAAGCAGUUGUCCAUUUCUGGCAGUGGACAAGGUAAGGGUGAUGGUGGCAGCAGAGUUAGCGGCAGCAAGCCUGGGCCCGGUGGGCCUGGAAAGGGAUCAGGAUUCCCGCGGCAGGUUGCGUUCACAGCGUACAAUGGUGAGCGUCCGCAGGGGUGGUUCCAGGAUUCAGCCGCCACUCACCACAUAACGUAUGACCGCUCAGAACUUCUCAGCGUGCGGUUGUUGGAGCCAUGGGAGUAGGGUUGGCAAAAAUACUAUAUUUAUUUACCCCAAUAGUAAUGUAGUACUAUGAUACUAUUACUAGGCAGGUACACGCUCCCUGUAGAAGGGGGGUGUACGACCAACCGUUGUACCUGAACGUUACACCGUUGGAAAGGUCUUCUUUUGUUCUUUCUAAAUAUCUACUUAGGCUAUAUAAAACCCUAAAACCUUUAUCUACUCAGAUCGCUGUGGUCAUCCAGAUCACUUUUUGUUAGUUCAGUGCCCGGUAGGUGGACCCCAAACCCCAUGUCUCAAGGCGUGUUAUGGCACAUAAAGACAUAAUCACAGAUAGAAGACCCAGUGUUGACAAGACAACACACGGACGCCAUACUAGUGAAGACUUGCCCCGCGAGAGUCGCGGGAAUCACUGGGAGGAGGGUCUGGCCAUCAAUGCCGCGCCGGCGCUUGGAGAGGGCCUGCUGAUCCGCCGUGCUGGGGCCCGCUGCAGCAGAGCUGGUUCCACUCUGUUGCUGUUGCUGGCUGAGUGACGCUGCACGCUGUUUGAUAGCCUUGCAAGCACCUUGCUUGAUCUGGUGCGCGUUGGUAAAGGAUGGGUUCGCGGCGCUGAGCGGCUCAUCACAGAACAAGCAGACUAGCAGACUACCCCACUACUAGCAGACUACCCCACCACUCCACAUCGAAGUUGUCCCAAAGACAACCCGUCUACAGGGUUACGUAGCUUGUUAAAAAGCUUGUUCCGAGAACGGAGAACUUCAGGGGGGACGUCUGGACCAGGAUGCAAGCCUCUGAUCGCCUUGUCAUUCUUUAUACUGGAUUCCUUUGAUUCAUCAAUAACUACGUAGCACAGCCCGAAGACGCGGCUAUAGCCCUUCAAAAUACAGCUUGACUGCAGAUCUCGACUUGGUCCAACUAAUACUGGACACUAUCCAACCCAAAUCUAGUACUAUCUGUUGAGGAAACGGUCCUCUCCCAACUCGUGUGGUUGUCAACCAGGGGAUUUGACCCCGGGUCUGCGCCUGACUAAUGGGGAAGGCUUACCCCAGAACCUUAUGGGCUACCGAUGCAUAUCCGGUAGCUAAGUGAUAGACAUUAGGGCACCGUCAGGACGGCGCAGUGAGAUCGCGGAAUGUACGUGCAGUUAGAUCGUGGAAUGUACGAGUUUUCCGCUAGCGCCGGUAUUUAGGGCGGUGACUGCGCUUAUUUGUUUAUCUCACUACGAUCGGUAUUCCUCAUAGGAGAUUCCUGCCGAACGCUAAUAAUACUCUUUACAUUACUUGUAACAGUUUAUCGUGCUAAAUAUCUUCGCCACCGGCAAUCCUUCCGGAAUAACAAUCAGCAACAACGGCAGGCGGCUGGCAGAAGUUAAGGCCUGGCUUCUGCUCCCGUCGCGUCCCGGCGCGUCCGGGUUCAAAUCCGCCUGCCGACCUCUCGGGGUGUUUGAGAGGUGAUGAAAUGGGAGGUGGCCCCCCAUCUUGUGGACGGUGUAGGACGUGAUAAAAUCAACUCGCGAGCUGACCAGGAACUAAGUUGACGCGCCGUUGAUCCGCUAGAUUUGGUUGGAUGCUGGUGGUGAGUUGCCAAACUCAAAGAGUACACUCUGAAGUCGGAUGGGGUGAAUGGCUUAGGGUGCCCCUCUAGCAGGGGAGAGCAGGGAACUGCCUCGGGAAGGAGGCCACUGGUGAAGCUUAACCACCCUGUAACAACAUCAACAAUCAGCGUUAGCCGUCACCGUCGCCAAUUCUUCAAUAGGUUAUGAGCCCCGAGUAGCGCCGACAGCUAUCGUCCGAUUGUUAUUUCUAUCCCUUAUCGACAAUGGUCAAGGAUAAGCUUGAUGAGCAGCUGGACCUCUACAACUACUCCACCUGGCAAAUCAGGUUUAGCGUGAUGUGCAUGGAGCUUGGGCUUGAGCAAUCCCUGCUCGCCGAGCCGUGCAACGAGGAGCAGAUUCGACAAUCACGGAAGGUCAUCAAUCUGCUCAUCAAGAACGUCAAGGAUCAUCAUUUGCCGAUGGUUACCGGUGCUGCCAACGCGAAGAAGGCCUGGGACGCCUUGGGAUCUAUGUUUGCUGCCAACAACAACGCCCGCAAGGUGUCUCUACGUCAAGAAUUCAGCCGUUUUAAGAUGGUCGACGGCGAACCUCUUCCGAUGUACUUUGCGCGUGCAAGGCAGCUGCAAACAGAUUUAUUGGGAGUCGGCCACGUAGUUAACGAUUCCGAGCUGGCGUACACCGUCCUAAUUGGUCUACCCAGUCGGUACAGCGUGGUGACGACUACAUUACUAAUGCGCGACGGCGAUUUGGACAUGGCGAGCGUCACAGCAAAGCUUCUCUCUAUUGAGACGGCUAACGGUGGGUCGGGCAAGCCUACCGAGUCGGCAGCCUUCGCGGAUGUCGGCGGUUCGACGUUCGGCGCUUCUACUUCUGGUUAUGGUAGCCGGGGGCCGGCUAACAACAGCUCGGGACACAGUCGGAAACAGCUCAUCUGCUACUACUGUAAUAAACCUGGGCACGUGGUAAAGGACUGCAGGCAGCUUAAAGCGCUGAAGCAGUCGUCAAAUUCUGGCUAUAAGGGAGGGUACAACCACAGUGGUAACGGAGGUAGUGGCAGCGGAGCUAGCGGCAGCAAGCCAGGAUCCGGUGGAUCAGCUAGGGGGCCAGGAGUUCCGCGGCAGGUAGCAUUCGUGGCAUACAACAGCAAUCGUCCGACGGAAUGGUUUCUGGACUCAGCCGCCACUCACCACAUAACGUAUGACCGCUCAGAACUUUUCAACGUGCGGUUGUUGGAGUCAUGGGAGCGCUUCAACAUCAUGGGCAUCAAGGGACAGUCUCUUCGGCCGACUGAAGUUGGCACGCUUACAAUUCGGUCUAACGUCAACGAUAAACAGGCCAUUACUUUUAAGAAGGUCUACGUAGACGAGGAGGCCACCGCCAAAAUCCUAUCGGUCCGCAUCAUUGAUGAUCGUGGAGGCAGUGUGGUCUUCGGCGGCGGACAGGUGAAAGUAUACGUACAGAACCACUUGGUGCUGACUGGAAAGCGGGAUGGGGACUUGUAUCCCGUCUGCUACAGCAGUGGAGGUACGGGAGCUCUGAAGUGUGAAGACAACAGGAUACCUUCUGGUGGUGAUGCAGUGUGUGCUGCCGUGGGUAUCGGAGCUGAACGUGCAGCACUUUGGCACCGAAGGUAUGGCCACUUAGGAUACAGCAACCUUGAGGCGCUGCUGCGUCAUGAUAUGGUAACUGGGUUCGAUGUUGACCGACACAGCAUACAAUCAGCCAGCGCGUGUGUGUGUGAGACUUGCGUCUUUGCAAAGCAUACACGUGGUCCUUUUCCGUUAUCUGGGCAUAAGGCAGCGCAGCCUCUCGCGCUCAUUCACAUGGAUGUGUGUGGACCUAUGCCUGAACCUUCACCUAGUGGUUCGCGUUAUGUGACAACUCUGCUUGACGACCAUACUGGUCUUUCAGCUGUUGCGUUUACAGCGACCAAGGAGGAGGUCUACCAGAAGAUGGUGGUAAUGAUAGCGGAACUGGAGCGCGCUACUGGCANNNNNNNNNNNNNNNNNNNNNNNNNNNNNNNNNNNNNNNNNNNNNNNNNNACAAUCACGGAAGGUCAUCAAUCUGCUCAUCAAGAACGUCAAGGAUCAUCAUUUGCCGAUGGUUACCGGUGCUGCCAACGCGAAGAAGGCCUGGGACGCCUUGGGAUCUAUGUUUGCUGCCAACAACAACGCCCGCAAGGUGUCUCUACGUCAAGAAUUCAGCCGUUUUAAGAUGGUCGACGGCGAACCUCUUCCGAUGUACUUUGCGCGUGCAAGGCAGCUGCAAACAGAUUUAUUGGGAGUCGGCCACGUAGUUAACGACUCCGAGCUGGCGUACACCUUCCUAGUUGGUCUACCCAGUCGGUACAGCGUGGUGACGACUACAUUACUAAUGCGCGACGGCGAUUUGGACAUGGCGAGCGUCACAGCAAAGCUUCUCUCUAUUGAGACGGCUAACGGUGGGUCGGGCAAGCCUACCGAGUCGGCAGCCUUCACGUCUGUCGGCGGUUCGACGUUCGGCGCUUCUACUUCUGGUUAUGGUAGCCGGGGGCCGGCUAACAACAGCUCGGGACACAGUCGGAAGCAAGUCAUCUGCUACUACUGUAAUAAGCCUGGGCACGUGGUUAAGGACUGCAGGCAGCUUAAAGCGCUGAAGCAGUCGUCAAAUUCUGGCUACAAGGGUGGCUACAACAACAGUGGUAACGGAGGUAGUGGCAGCGGAGCUAGCGGCAGCAAGCCAGGAUCCGGUGGAUCAGCUAGGGGGCCAGGAGUUCCGCGGCAGGUAGCAUUCGUGGCAUACAACAGCAAUCGCCCGACGGAAUGGUUUCUGGACUCAGCCGCCACUCACCACAUAACAUAUGACCGCUCAGAACUUUUCAACGUGCGGUUGUUGGAGUCAUGGGAGCGCUUCAACAUCAUGGGCAUCAAGGGACAGUCUCUUCGGCGGACUGAAGUUGGCACGCUUACGAUUCGGUCUAACGUCAACGAUAAACAGGCCAUUACUUUUAAGAAGGUCUACGUCGACGAGGCGGCCACCGCCAAAAUCCUAUCGGUCCGCAUCAUUGAUGAUCGUGGAGGCAGUGUGGUCUUCGGCGGCGGACAGGUGAAAGUAUACGUACAGAACCACUUGGUGCUGACUGGAAAGCGGGAUGGGGACUUGUAUCCCGUCUGCUACAGCAGUGGAGGUACGGGAGCUCUGAAGUGUGAAGACAACAGGAUACCUUCUGGUGGUGAUGCAGUGUGUGCUGCCGUGGGUAUCGGAGCUGAACGUGCAGCACUUUGGCACCGAAGGUAUGGCCACUUAGGAUACAGCAACCUUGAGGCGCUGCUGCGUCAUGAUAUGGUAACUGGGUUCGAUGUUGACCGACACAGCAUACAAUCAGCCAGCGCGUGUGUGUGUGAGACUUGCGUCUUUGCAAAGCAUACACGUGGUCCUUUUCCGUUAUCUGGGCAUAAGGCAGCGCAGCCUCUCGCGCUCAUUCACAUGGAUGUGUGUGGACCUAUGCCUGAACCUUCACCUAGUGGUUCGCGUUAUGUGACAACUCUGCUUGACGACCAUACUGGUCUUUCAGCUGUUGCGUUUACAGCGACCAAGGAGGAGGUCUACCAGAAGAUGGUGGUAAUGAUAGCGGGAACUGGAGCGCGCUACUGGCAGGCAGGUUAAGGAGGUGCGUACAGAUCGUGGCGGGGAGUUCGUUAAUACUCGCACGAAGGGCUAUUUCUCGUCCAGGGGUAUUGUACACGGAACUACGGUAGGCUAUACCCCUGAGCAGAACGGAGCUGCGGAACGUUUAAAUCGCACUUUUUUGGACUAGGGCUAUGCUCGUUGAGUCUGGACUGCCUAAAUCAUUAUGGGCGGAGGCGUUAGCGACAGCCAACUAUCUUAGGAAUGUGUCGCCAACUGCUGGGUCAACCGUCACUCCGUACGAAGCUUUCUUUAACGUUCGUCCGAACAUCAGUCACCUGCGAGUCUUUGGAUGCGUUGCCUACGUCCACGUACCCGACGUCAAGCGCGACAAGUUCGACCCGGUGAGCAGGCGUGGAAUACUUGUCGGAUACGGGAACGGUGGACAGUAUCGUGUACUAUACGAGGACGGCAUUAUUGCCGUAGUUUCUAACGUUCGUUUUGACGAGUCUAACGUCGGCCGGCGGCGUAAUGCCGGGGAUUCUGAUUAUGAGUCCGAUGCCGAUGAGGAGGAGGAGUUUCACACUAGUUUAUCUGGUGAGGGAUCGCUGCCUAGGGCUGGCGAAGGGACACCAGGUAGCACCGUCGGCGAGGGAUCGCCGCAUUUGGGUGGCGAGGGGGCGCCGGCUGGGGCUGGACCUUCCAGCAGUGCGAACGUGCAAGGAAUCAAUCAGCCUGAUGUGGAAAUGGCGGGAACUAGGUACCCAGUUAGAGAGCGUAAACGCCCUGGCGAAUGGUGGCGAAACGAACCUGGUCGCACUGUCACUGGUCGCGUUAACGCUGCUUUCUCUGCUGGUAUUCCUGAGCCUAAUUCAUUUGCGGAAGCCAUUGCAAGUCCACAUGCAGACGACUGGCGGCGUGCGAUGGACGAGGAGAUCGCCGCCCAGAUGGCUAACAGUACUUGGGAGCUGAAGAAGCCACCUCCUGGUACUCGUUUGUUGCCGUGUCGUUGGGUAUAUAAGGUUAAGUACAGCGAUGACGGCAGCGUGGAGCGUUUUAAGGCGCGUUUAGUUGCCAAGGGUUUCGAGCAACGCGAGGGGAUUGAUUAUGGGGAGUUGAUGUUGUUACAGGGUGGUUAAGCUUCACCAGUGGCCUCCUUCCCGAGGCAAUUCCCUGCUCUCCCCUGCUAGAGGGGCACCCUAAGCCAUUCACCCCAUCCGACUUCAGAGUGUACUCUUUGAGUUUGGCAACUCACCACCAGCAUCCAACCAAAUCUAGCGGAUCAACGGCGCCUCAACUUAGUUCCUAGUCAGCUCGCAAGUUGAUUUUAUCACGUCCUACACCGUCCACAAGAUGGGGGGCCACCUCCCAUUUCACCACCUCUCAAACACCCGAGAGGUCGGCAGGCGGAUUUGAACCCGGGUCGACCGGGAGCAGAAGUCAGGCCUUAACCUCUGCCAGCCGCCUGCCUAGAGUUGUUUGCCCCCACCUCUCGUGGUUCGUCAUUACGUGCUUUAUUAGCAGUUGCCACAGCGCGGAACAUGACGGUGCAUCAGCUAGAUGUGUCUACUGCGUUCCUGAAUGGUGAGCUGAAGGAGGAGUUAUGGAUGGAGCAACCGCCUGGGUAUGUGUGUAAUGUUACAGAGUGGGAGGCUUCUGGGCCGCUUUUAUCACAUUGUCAGUUCUACGAUUUAUCAUCUUAUAGCACCAUCCACCACUACCACACUAUACUUCGCCAUACGAACUGUAAGUCCAAGGCGGCGGGUCCAGCCGUCUAGGACCCCUCCUCAUCCAUUCACCCGAACAACGGAAGAGACGGAGGGUUCGGCAAUCGCCACCAAUCCAGCGUGCGAAUCUGGUCCAUCAACUGCGACCUCAACUCCACAUCUCAGCAGCUAGCCAUAAUCUCGCGCUCCCGACUAAUUCGGGGGUCUCCCCAGGAAUCGAACCCAGGCCUGGGUAUGCAUCCAGUGACCGGUCGCUUGCGUGCAAGCUGCAGAAGUCUAUUUACGGUUUGAAGCAGGCACCCCGUUGCUGGUAUGAAAAGCUAUCAGCAGAGUUCGCCAAGUUGGGUCUUUAUCCUUCGAAGUCUGAUCCGGCGAUGUUUGUUAAGACUGACGAGCGAGGGGUUGUUAUUGCUUUGGUGCACGUAGAUGAUACCAUUGUUGCGUCGGAAGACCCGGAAAUGGUCCGGGCAAUUAAAACAGCAAUUGCGAAGGUCUUCAAGGUGCGCGACCUUGGAGAAGCAAAGGUGUUUUUGGGCAUGGAAAUUAGGAGGGAGAAGUCGGGUGAGAUAGUGUUGUCGAAGCAUAGGUAUAUUGCGCAGCUGUUGGAGCGUCAUAGGAUGAUUGACGCCAAGCCGAGGUCUACCCCUUUGCCUCCGGGCUUUAGGUACACUCCUAAGGGGGACGGAGAGGAGCUGCUGGGCAAUCCCACCGAGUAUAGGGCUUUGGUGGGAGAAUUGAACUAUCUGGCGACGAACACGCGGCCUGACAUUUCAUAUGCAUUGAGCGUUUUGUCCCGGCAUAUGGCCGCACCUACGAAGACUGCCAUGAACUUAGCAAUCGGCGUUCUGCGUUACCUGGCGGGGACUCGCGAACUAGGAUUGCGUUUUGGGGGUGUUGGCGACGUUGCUAUGUCCGGGUACAGUGAUUCGGACUGGGCAGGAGACCCAGUUACGCGGCGCUCUACGUCCGGCUACGUUUUCACUCUUAAUGGGGCUGCGAUUAGCUGGAGCAGCCAACUUCAACGUACUGUGGCGGCUUCGUCGGUGGAGGCUGACUACCAAGCUACAGCGGCGGCUGUUCACGAGGCUUUGUGGCUUCGCAAGCUGAUGGUUGAUUUGGGUUUGCCUGAGAGCGCUAUCAGAAUCCAAAUAGAUUCCCAGGGGGCGCUUAGCUUGGGAAAUAACCCGAUUACGUCUGCUCGGUCGAAGCACAUCGACGUGCAGCAUCACAUAGUGCGUGAGAGGGUGAAUAGUGGUGAGGUGCAGUUGGAAUACUGCCCUACGGAGUGGAUGGUUGCGGAUGUGCUAACGAAGGCUCUGGGCGAGGUGAAGUUCAAACGUUGCCGAGAUGCGAUGGGCCUUGUGUGAAGUGUGCAGAUGAACUUGGUACUCGUUGGGAUACGGCCCGAGGGGACGUGUUGAGGAAACGGUCCUCUCCCAACUCGUGUGGUUGUCGACCAGGGGAUUUGACCCCGGGUCUGCGCCUGACUAAUGGGGAAGGCUUACCCCAGAACCUUAUGGGCUACCGAUGCAUAUCCGGUAGCUAAGUGAUAGACAUUAGGGCACCGUCAGGACGGCGCAGUGAGAUCGCGGAAUGUACGUGCAGUUAGAUCGUGGAAUGUACGAGUUUUCCGCUAGCGCCGGUAUUUAGGGCGGUGACUGCGCUUAUUUGUUUAUCUCACUACGAUCGGUAUUCCUCAUAGGAAUCUCCUCAAGUCCUGCCGAACGCUAAUAAUACUCUAUACAUUACUUGUAACAGUUUAUCGUGCUAAAUAUCUUCGCCAGCGGCAAUCCUUCCGGAAUAACAAUCAGCGUUAGCCGUCACCGUCGCCAAUUCUUCAAUACUAUCUAGUACUAUUUUUACUAUACUAUUUUACUAUGUACGAACGCGGUACGAGCGUCGUAAACUAGUACCAGUUAAGAGCCCUG